RNAcentral lists this ribosomal RNA (429 nucleotides) under bacterium. RNAcentral describes it as "partial 16S ribosomal RNA". It matches the Rfam family "Bacterial small subunit ribosomal RNA", at positions 355 to 776 of the family's 1533-position model. The record is from RNAcentral.
UAGGGAAUCUUCGGCAAUGGGGGCAACCCUGACCGAGCAACGCCGCGUGAGUGAAGAAGGUUUUCGGAUCGUAAAGCUCUGUUGUAAGAGAAGAACGUGUGUGAGAGUGGAAAGUUCACACAGUGACGGUAACUUACCAGAAAGGGACGGCUAACUACGUGCCAGCAGCCGCGGUAAUACGUAGGUCCCGAGCGUUGUCCGGAUUUAUUGGGCGUAAAGCGAGCGCAGUCGGUUUAAUAAGUCUGAAGUUAAAGGCAGUGGCUUAACCAUUGUUCGCUUUGGAAACUGUUAAACUUGAGUGCAGAAGGGGAGAGUGGAAUUCCAUGUGUGGCGGUGAAAUGCGUAGAUAUAUGGAGGAACACCGGUGGCGAAAGCGGCUCUCUGGUCUGUAACUGACGCUGAGGCUCGAAAGCGUGGGGAGCAAACAGG